UGGUCAGCUCAGCUUUUUUGGCAAUAGCAAAAUAAAUUGGAGAUACCCAAAGCCUCUGACCAUAACCAAAGACCUGAAUCAUUUCUGCUGUAGCUGCUAAGGGGAAGGCCAGGGAGGCUGGGUGAAGCUGAGCAAAGGCAGUUGUUUAUUGGGGAAAAGGUGAGAGGGAAAUACACCCCGAAAUUGUGUCAGAGUUGUGGCCAGGGGACCAGAAUAUGGAUGUCUUUCUUUUCCCUUCUCUGGUUUAUACCUUUUCUGUGAUGUGGUUAUGGCACUUCUACUGGAAAAGGAAUUCUUUCCUCUCUUUUCUGCUAAGAAACCAAGUGCUCGGCUGUUUCCAGGGAAAGCGAGAAAACCAACGUUGAGCUCCCUUUCUGCAUGGCGCUCGAGAAAACAGACCAGUUCCUAAAACGAAGGCCUAGGUCCCAGCGCUCCUUGGCCAGUUAAUAGGAAUAUAAGAGGACAGCUCACAAAAUCCUCCAGUAUAAUAGCCGCCGUGGAUCAGACCCCCAGACCCGGGCAGAAGGCAUUAUUGUUGCCAUUUAUUAAUACUAAUAAUAAUGGGGUCAUGGGGGAGGGGGAGUCAGGGAGAAGUCACGUGACUCUCUCCACUCUCAGCGCUGUCUCCCAGAGCUGCUGAUGGGGUUCAGGGUGGUCCCAGUACCAGGACCUCUUUUCAAGUCAUUUGGAGAUUAUUUUCUGGGAAAGCUAAGGUGAGGGACAGCUACCAGGGCACAGCAGCAAAUUGUUUUCCAUGUGGGUGACGUUGUCUUUGUAAGUGGGAAGCAGACGUGUAGUCUGGUUUAGAUGGAGGGGGUACUGCCCUGGUGUGUGCUCAGUGGCAGAUCUGGAACCUUCUGUCCGCGGGUGGGCAUCUGAGCUUCCGUCACUUUGGGAGGGCAAAUUUCCAGACUGUCUCUGUGGUAUUUAAAAUGCUAUUGUCGGGAGGUCCCAUUGUGGCUCAGUGGUAACAAACCUGACUCCUAUCCGUGAGGUUGUGGGUUCGAUCCCUGGCCUCGCUCAGUGGGUUAAGGAUCCAGCACUGCCGUGAGCUGUGGUGUAGGUCACAGAUACGGCUUGGACCACAGCCACAGCAAUGCAGGAUCCGAGCCGUGUCCAUGACCUACACCACAGCUCAUGGCAAUGCCGGAUCCCUAACCUACUGAGCGAGGCCAGGAAUUGAACCUGUGUCCUCAUGGAUAGAUACUACUCAGGCUUGUUACCACUGAGCCCUGACAGGAACUCCAAAUAGCCAUUUAUUGAGGGUCAAGAAAAGCCCUUGUUUUCCUCAUUCCCGGUCUCCUCCGCUCUCCUGUUGGGCCUCAAGCCCGGGGCCCUCUGCUCCGAGGCACCUUCUGGAGGAAAUGACAGGCAGUUGUGCGGAAAGAAUGGAGCAGGGAAGCUCCAGCCACCUGCCGAGUCACACCUGCUCCCCCCACCUGCCCCCACAGGGUCCGGGGAGGGAAGUGCAGCCCAGAACAGAGUGGGAAAGCUGCUGGUGAGAGAGGUUUCUGCCUGGGCACAUUAUCUCAUUUAAUCUCCCUCGCCCUCUGUGGGGACGUGUCAUUGUCGUCAAGGGUGGCUCAGGUGUCAAGCAGUUUCAGUAAAAGGUUUCAGCUGCUCCCCAGCCAGGAAACCUUGCCUCUGCUGGGUGUGUGUGAGCAGUCCUGCCAGCUGCUCCACGUCCCCUCGCUCCUCUCUGGAGGAGGGGUCAUGAAGCAUCCUUAUGGAGGGGGACGUCGGGGAAAGGCCUGUCGCCUCCAUGGUCCCUCUGCCUUCCCCGAGGGGUGUGGCUGCGGCCUGGGCGGCAGGGGUCUGUUCUAGGUCUUCCUCCCUGGCCCCCACGCCUCUCUCAGAGCCUGAGGCAAGCCCUCUGUUGGAGAAGAGUUGAGAACUAACUCUAGGAACAGGCAUCCAUGGGUAGAUGAGCUGGGAGGAGGCGCUGGCCUGGUUCGAGCCCAGCUGAGUGUUGUCAGCGCUGAAGUAGCCAUGAGCUUCCUGGCGCUCUGUUCUGCUUCACGGUGACAAACACUAUGUCUUGAAACUUAAGAGAAAAAAGAAAAAAAA
Molecule: long non-coding RNA, 2067 nt
Filed under: Sus scrofa (pig)
Lineage: Eukaryota; Metazoa; Chordata; Mammalia; Artiodactyla; Suidae
Description: lncRNA (ENSSSCG00005003990.1)
Source: RNAcentral